UACGUAGGGCGCAAGCGUUGUCCGGAAUUAUUGGGCGUAAAGAGCUCGUAGGCGGCUUGUCGCGUCGAUUGUGAAAGCCCGGGGCUUAACUCCGGGUCUGCAGUCGAUACGGGCAGGCUAGAGUGUGGUAGGGGAGUCUGGAAUUCCUGGUGUAGCGGUGAAAUGCGCAGAUAUCAGGAGGAACACCGGUGGCGAAGGCGGGACUCUGGGCCGAUACUGACGCUGAGGAGCGAAAGCGUGGGGAGCAAACAGG
RNAcentral lists this ribosomal RNA (253 nucleotides) under uncultured bacterium. Its description in RNAcentral is "partial 16S ribosomal RNA". It matches the Rfam family "Bacterial small subunit ribosomal RNA", at positions 524 to 776 of the family's 1533-position model. The record is from RNAcentral.